Molecule: non-coding RNA, 26 nt
Filed under: Rattus norvegicus (Norway rat)
Lineage: Eukaryota; Metazoa; Chordata; Mammalia; Rodentia; Muridae
Source: RNAcentral
UAUAGGCGCUGAAGGAAUAAGCCACA